This 302-nucleotide long non-coding RNA is filed under the name Mytilus galloprovincialis (Mediterranean mussel). Lineage: Eukaryota; Metazoa; Mollusca; Bivalvia; Mytilida; Mytilidae. The record is from RNAcentral.
CCCGAGGUCAUAUCGCGAUAGGCAAAAUUCGCGUAGCAAAAAAAAAUUCUCAAAUCAACAUGUGUACCUUGUUUUUAAGUGUGUCCAAUCACACUUAGAAGCGAAAUAUCAUAUAAUAUUGCUUUAAAUCCAACGAAAAUGUGUCAUAAUAUAACAAUUCAACAUUUUUCAACAUUCAUCAACAUCAGGUUCAAACUUUCAAAACGGCUAAUACAAAAACGGAUUCCUUCGUGAAACGAAACGAAAUUUUAUUCUUCUGUGUGUAAACCUCCUUUGAACAGGAGCACAUGAUGAUAAACCCU